UCCCCGAGCUCCCGGGGCUCGCGGGCUGAGACGCUUCUCUCUCCUCGCACGUCGCCGCGGCCCUUUCUCUCCGCAGCACCUCGGAGUCCCUCGGCCCGGUGGCGGCGGCAGCGGGGACCCGAGCAGCGGCGAGCGGCCUCGAGGAUGAAGUGCAAGCCGAACCAGACGCGGACCUACGACCCGGAGGGGUUCAAGAAGCGGGCGGCGUGCCUGUGCUUCCGGAGCGAGCGCGAGGACGAGGUGCUGUUAGUGAGUAGCAGUCGGUACCCGGACCGCUGGAUCGUGCCGGGCGGGGGCAUGGAGCCCGAGGAGGAGCCGGGCGGUGCUGCAGUCCGCGAGGUGUACGAAGAGGCGGGAGUCAAGGGGAAGUUAGGCCGGCUCCUGGGCAUUUUCGAGGAGAACCAAGAUCGCAAGCACAGAACGUACGUGUAUGUACUGACUGUCACUGAGAUUCUGGAGGAUUGGGAAGAUUCGGUUAGCAUUGGGAGGAAGCGAGAGUGGUUCAAAAUCGAAGAUGCGAUCAAGGUUCUCCAGUGCCACAAGCCCGUGCAUGCCGAAUAUCUGCAAAAACUAAAGCUGGGCGGUUCCCCAACCAAUGGAAACUCCAUGGCCCCGUCCCUGCCAGAGAGCGAUCCCUAAUAUUUUUGCAGAUAAAAACCCCUUCCACUUGAAAUGCUGUCACAAAUACUUUGGAGCCUUAACUUGUUAAUCUUAGAGAUGAACAGCAAAGAUAUCCAGGAUUGCUUUGAAAGAGUCAUUGAUGUGAACCACUGAUGAAUGGAAUUGGCAAGUAUAGAAAGUUCCCUCUGUCUUUUCUGAAUCCUCAGCAAGGUACCAUGUCUGCAGCCUCUGACCCUCAUGUGCUCUUCUGGGGACAGUGAUUUUCAACUGGUAAACAAGGACACCACCACUCUGGACUCAGGAAAUGGAACCCUGUUCUCACCCUUCUACCUUUUUACCCCAGAAUGUGCCCUUAUUCAUCCCUAAUUUCCUACAGUACUCCAGAGACAAGGCUGUAAUUUUUGAUGAGAUUUUAUUGACGAUUACCAGAUUAUGUGACGCAAAGAACACAAUUUACACCUACUGCACAGUUCAUAUCUUUUCUAGGUUCCACUGCUAGACCAAUUUCCUAAUGCAGCCUGACUCCAAAUGGCCUAGGAAAGUCCCUCAACCCCCCACUCCCCAUCACUACCCAAAACCUGAGAGUUUGCAGUUUCAAAUCAUGGAUAAACUGAUCCUCACCAUGGAGAAGGGAA
This is a non-coding RNA of Kogia breviceps (pygmy sperm whale), 1256 nucleotides long. NCBI's taxonomy places the organism in Eukaryota, Metazoa, Chordata, Mammalia, Artiodactyla, Physeteridae. The record is from RefSeq and is a predicted model, not a curated record.